Molecule: ribosomal RNA, 408 nt
Filed under: uncultured bacterium
Lineage: Bacteria
Description: partial 16S ribosomal RNA
Rfam family: Bacterial small subunit ribosomal RNA
Source: RNAcentral
GACGAACGCUGGCGGCGUGCUUAACACAUGCAAGUCGAACGAAGUGGCGAACGGGUGAGUAACGCGUAAUCAACCUGCCCUUCAGAGGGGGAAAACAGUUGGAAACGACUGCUAAUACCGCAUACUGAAGGAGGGGAUUGCGUCUGGUUGGCUAGUUGGAGGGGUAACGGCCCACCAAGGCGAUGAUCAGCAGCCUGUCCGGGUGGAUGAACCGCCACAUGGGUACUGAGAAAAGGACCAACAUGCUACGGAAGGCAGUAGUAGGGAAUCAUCCGAAAUGGACGGAAGUCCGGCGGAGCAACGCCGCCUGAGUGAUGACAGCCUUCGGGUUGUAAAGCUCUGUUAAUCGGGAAGCGGUACCGGAAUAGAAAGCCACGGCUAACUACGUGCCAGCAGCCGCGGUAAUAC